ACCUGGAUAGCUCAGUCGGUUGAGCGUCUGACUUCAGCUGAGGUCACGAUCUCACAAUUCAUGGGUUCGAGCCCCACAUCAGGUU
RNAcentral lists this transfer RNA (85 nucleotides) under Felis catus (domestic cat). It matches the Rfam family "tRNA". From Rfam's summary of the family: Transfer RNA (tRNA) molecules are approximately 80 nucleotides in length. Their secondary structure includes four short double-helical elements and three loops (D, anti-codon, and T loops). Lineage: Eukaryota; Metazoa; Chordata; Mammalia; Carnivora; Felidae. The record is from Rfam by way of RNAcentral.